GCAUAUCAAUAAGCGGAGGAAAAGAAACCAACAGGGAUUGCCCCAGUAACGGCGAGUGAAGCGGCAACAGCUCAAAUUUGAAAUCUGGCCCUCGGGUCCGAGUUGUAAUUUGUAGAGGAUGCUUUUGGCGAGGUGCCUUCCGAGUUCCCUGGAACGGGACGCCAUAGAGGGUGAGAGCCCCGUCUGGUCGGACACCGAGCCUCUGUAAAGCUCCUUCGACGAGUCGAGUAGUUUGGGAAUGCUGCUCAAAAUGGGAGGUAUAUGUCUUCUAAAGCUAAAUAUUGGCCAGAGACCGAUAGCGCACAAGUAGAGUGAUCGAAAGAUGAAAAGCACUUUGAAAAGAGGGUUAAAAAGUACGUGAAAUUGUUGAAAGGGAAGCGCCUAUGACCAGACUUGAGCCCGGUGAAUCAUCCAGCGUUCUCGCUGGUGCACUUUGCCGGGCCCAGGCCAGCAUCAGUUUGGCGCGGGGGAUAAAGGUGACGGGAAUGUGGCUCCCUCGGGAGUGUUAUAGCCCGCUACGUAAUACCCUGCGCCGGACUGAGGUACGCGCAUUGCAAGGAUGCUGGCGUAAUGGUCAUCAGCGACCCGUCUUGAAACACGGACCAAGGAGUCGUCUUCGUAUGCGAGUGUUCGGGUGUCAAACCCCUACGCGUAAUGAAAGUGAACGCAGGUGAGAGCUUCGGCGCAUCAUCGACCGAUCCUGAUGUUCUCGGAUGGAUUUGAGUAAGAGCAUACGGGGCCGGACCCGAAAGAAGGUGAACUAUGCCUGUAUAGGGUGAAGCCAGAGGAAACUCUGGUGGAGGCUCGCAGCGGUUCUGACGUGCGAAUCGAUCGUCAAAUAUGGGCAUGGGGGCGAAAGACUAAUCGAACCUUCUAGUAGCUGGUUUCCGCG
Molecule: ribosomal RNA, 892 nt
Filed under: Cordyceps javanica
Lineage: Eukaryota; Fungi; Ascomycota; Sordariomycetes; Hypocreales; Cordycipitaceae
Description: partial large subunit ribosomal RNA
Rfam family: Eukaryotic large subunit ribosomal RNA
Source: RNAcentral